RNAcentral lists this ribosomal RNA (403 nucleotides) under bacterium. Its description in RNAcentral is "partial 16S ribosomal RNA". It matches the Rfam family "Bacterial small subunit ribosomal RNA", at positions 355 to 776 of the family's 1533-position model. The record is from RNAcentral.
UGGGGAAUAUUGCACAAUGGGGGAAACCCUGAUGCAGCGACGCCGCGUGAACGAAGAAGGUAUUCGUAUCGUAAAGUUCUGUCCUAUGGGAAGAUAAUGACAGUACCAUAGAAGAAAGCUCCGGCUAAAUACGUGCCAGCAGCCGCGGUAAUACGUAUGGAGCGAGCGUUGUCCGGAAUUAUUGGGCGUAAAGGGUACGCAGGCGGUUGAAUAAGUCGAAUGUUAAAGAUCGGGGCUCAACCCCGCAAAGCAUUGGAAACUGAUAAACUUGAGUAGUGGAGAGGAAAGUGGAAUUCCUAGUGUAGUGGUGAAGUACGUAGAUAUUAGGAGGAAUACCAGUAGCGAAGGCGACUUUCUGGACACAAACUGACGCUGAGGUACGAAAGCGUGGGGAGCAAACAGG